RNAcentral lists this ribosomal RNA (452 nucleotides) under uncultured marine bacterium. RNAcentral's name for it is "bacterial SSU rRNA". It matches the Rfam family "Bacterial small subunit ribosomal RNA", at positions 360 to 804 of the family's 1533-position model. The record is from RNAcentral.
AAUAUUGCGCAAUGGGCGAAAGCGUGACGCAGUGACGCCGCGUGGGGGAUGAAGGUCUUCGGAUUGUAAACUCCUGUUAAGUGGGAAGAAAGGCUCGCCUUUAAUAGAGGCGAGAGAUGACGGUACCAUUAGAGAAAGCACCGGCUAACUUCGUGCCAGCAGCCGCGGUAAUACGAGGGGUGCUAGCGUUAUUCGGAAUCAUUGGGCGUAAAGGGUGUGUAGACGGCGCAUUAAGUCAACAGUUAAAUUCUCCGGCCUAACUGGAGGUCAGCGGUAGAAACUGGUGUGCUAGAGGGUGAGAGAGAGAAGUGGAAUUCUCGGAGUAGCGGUAAAAUGCGUAGAUCUCGAGAGGAACACCGAUGGCGAAGGCAGCUUCUUGGCUCACUCCUGACGUUGAGACACGAAAGCGUGGGGAGCAAACAGGAUUAGAUACCCUGGUAGUCCACGCCGUA